This 889-nucleotide ribosomal RNA is filed under the name Parmotrema subtinctorium. Its description in RNAcentral is "partial small subunit ribosomal RNA". It matches the Rfam family "Bacterial small subunit ribosomal RNA", at positions 356 to 1161 of the family's 1533-position model. The record is from RNAcentral. Lineage: Eukaryota; Fungi; Ascomycota; Lecanoromycetes; Lecanorales; Parmeliaceae.
GAGGAAUGUAUAGCAAUAGCUACUUGUAUCAUUAAUGAUGCAAGCUCGACUAUGUUGAAUAAAAUUCUAGGUAGAAUUAUGAUAAUGACAUUGUCUGCCUAUGUGUCUUGACCAAAUUACGUGCCAGCAGUCGCGGUAAUACGUAGAAGACUAGUGUUAUUCAUGUUUAAUCGGUUUAAAGGGUACCUAGACGGUGAAUCAAGCUUUAAAAUAAAGAAUAAAAGGGACUAAUUCGCUAGAGUUACUUACGAGGGGGCUUUAAAGUACUGCUGGUGUAGAGAUGAAAUUCUGUCAUACCUCUUUUCGAAAGAAGAAUAACGGCACAGGUAUAGGCGAAGGCAUCCCCUUAUGUGAUAACUGACGUUGAGGGACGAAGGCUUCAUGUAACAAACAGGAUUAGAUACCCUAGUAGUUGAAAGCAGAAAAUGAUGAAUGUCAUAGAUUAGACGUCUAAGUUUAUUCUAUAAAUGAAAGUGUAAGCAUUCCACCUCAUGAGUAAUUUGGCAACAUUGGAAUUGAAAUCAUUAGACCGUUUCUGAAACCAGUAGUGAAGUAUGUUGUUUAAUUUGAUAAUCCGCAAAAAACCUUACCACAAUUUGAAUAUUUAUAUUAUUUAUUGUUAUCUUAUUAAUUUUCUUCCUUUUUUUACAUUAAUCAAAAACCAAACUAAGAAGAAAAAAAACCAAACAAAUAAAAAAAAACAAAGAGAAGAAGAGAAGAAAUAACAAAAAAGAGAAUAAAAUUAAUGAAGAGGCAAUAACAUAUAUCUACAAGCGUUGCACGGCUGUCUUCAGUUAAUGUCGCGAGACUUUGGUUAGUUCCAUUAAAUUAACGUAAACCCUUACUUUAUUUUUUAUAUAGAGUAGUUCCCCGCUAGAUUGGAUAUGAU